This 378-nucleotide unclassified non-coding RNA is filed under the name plant metagenome. RNAcentral describes it as "partial contains 5.8S ribosomal RNA, internal transcribed spacer 2, and large subunit ribosomal RNA". The stretch from base 1 to 107 matches the Rfam family "5.8S ribosomal RNA", at positions 48 to 154 of the family's 154-position model. The record is from RNAcentral.
GCGAAAUGCGAUAAGUAAUGUGAAUUGCAGAAUUCAGUGAAUCAUCGAAUCUUUGAACGCACCUUGCGCUCCUUGGUAUUCCUUGGAGCAUGCCUGUUUGAGUAUCAUGAAAUCUUCAAAGUAAAUCUUUUGUUAACUCAAUUGGUUUCUACUUUGGUAUUGGAGGUCUUUGCAGCUUCACACCUGCUCCUCUUUGUUCAUUAGCUGGAUCUCAGUGUUAUGCUUGGUUCCACUCGGCGUGAUAAGUUAUCUAUCGCUGAGGACACUGUAAAAGGUGGCCAAGGUAAAUGCAGAUGAACCGCUUCUAAUAGUCCAUUGACUUGGACAAUACUUUUAUGAUCUGAUCUCAAAUCAGGUAGGACUACCCGCUGAACUUAA